UACAGAGGGUGCAAGCGUUGCUCGGAUUUACUGGGCGUAAAGCGUACGCAGACGGUAAGGAAGGUCGAAUGUGAAAGCCCCGGGCUCAACCCGGGAAAUGCAUCCGAAACCCCCUUGCUAGAGUAUGAGAGAGGGAAGCGGAAUUCCUGGUGUAGAGGUGAAAUUCGUAGAUAUCAGGAGGAACAUCGGCGGCGAAGGCGGCUUCCGUGGCUCAUUACUGACGUUCAGGUACGAAAGCGUGGGUAGCAAACAGG
RNAcentral lists this ribosomal RNA (254 nucleotides) under uncultured bacterium. RNAcentral describes it as "partial 16S ribosomal RNA". It matches the Rfam family "Bacterial small subunit ribosomal RNA", at positions 524 to 776 of the family's 1533-position model. The record is from RNAcentral.